RNAcentral lists this ribosomal RNA (490 nucleotides) under uncultured bacterium. Its description in RNAcentral is "partial 16S ribosomal RNA". It matches the Rfam family "Bacterial small subunit ribosomal RNA", at positions 28 to 507 of the family's 1533-position model. The record is from RNAcentral.
GAUGAACGCUAGCGGCAGGCCUAAUACAUGCAAGUCGAACGGGAUCCAGAUCAAAGCUUGCUUUGGUUUGGUGAGAGUGGCGCACGGGUGCGUAACGCGUGAGCAACCUACCCUUGUCAGGGGGAUAGCCCGGCGAAAGUCGGAUUAAUACCGCAUGACAUCAUUGAGAGGCAUCUUUCGAUGAUCAAAGAUUUAUCGGACAAGGAUGGGCUCGCGUGACAUUAGCUAGUUGGUAAGGUAACGGCUUACCAAGGCUACGAUGUCUAGGGGCUCUGAGAGGAGAAUCCCCCACACUGGUACUGAGACACGGACCAGACUCCUACGGGAGGCAGCAGUAAGGAAUAUUGGUCAAUGGACGGAAGUCUGAACCAGCCAUGCCGCGUGCAGGAAGACGGCCCUAUGGGUUGUAAACUGCUUUUAUACGGGAACAAACGUCGGUACGUGUACCGGUCUGAGUGUACCGUAAGAAUAAGAAUCGGCUAACUCCGUG